This 492-nucleotide ribosomal RNA is filed under the name uncultured bacterium. RNAcentral describes it as "partial 16S ribosomal RNA". It matches the Rfam family "Bacterial small subunit ribosomal RNA", at positions 29 to 507 of the family's 1533-position model. The record is from RNAcentral.
AGUGAACGUUGGCGGUAGGCCUAACACAUGCAAGUCGAACGGCAGCACAGUAAGAGCUUGCUCUUACGGGUGGCGAGUGGCGGACGGGUGAGGAAUACAUCGGAAUCUACUUUUUCGUGGGGGAUAACGUAGGGAAACUUACGCUAAUACCGCAUACGACCUACGGGUGAAAGCAGGGGAUCUUCGGACCUUGCGCGAUUGAAUGAGCCGAUGUCGGAUUAGCUAGUUGGCGGGGUAAAGGCCCACCAAGGCGACGAUCCGUAGCUGGUCUGAGAGGAUGAUAGGCCACACUGGAACUUAGACACGGUCCAGACUCCUACGGGAGGCAGCAGUGGGGAAUAUUGGACAAAGGGCGCAAGCCUGAUCCAGCCAUACCGCGUGGGUGAAGAAGGCCUUCGGGUUGUAAAGCCCUUUUGUUGGGAAAGAAAAGCAGCAGGUUAAUACCCCGCUGUUCUGACGGUACCCAAAGAAUAAGCACCGGCUAACUUCGUG